UUUACUUAUGCUAAUUUAACG
RNAcentral lists this non-coding RNA (21 nucleotides) under Caenorhabditis elegans. Lineage: Eukaryota; Metazoa; Nematoda; Chromadorea; Rhabditida; Rhabditidae. The record is from RNAcentral.